GGUUAAGCGACUAAGCGUACACGGUGGAUGCCCUGGCAGUCAGAGGCGAUGAAGGACGUGCUAAUCUGCGAUAAGCGUCGGUAAGGUGAUAUGAACCGUUAUAACCGGCGAUUUCCGAAUGGGGAAACCCAGUGUGAUUCGUCACACUAUCAUUAACUGAAUCCAUAGGUUAAUGAGGCGAACCGGGGGAACUGAAACAUCUAAGUACCCCGAGGAAAAGAAAUCAACCGAGAUUCCCCCAGUAGCGGCGAGCGAACGGGGAGCAGCCCAGAGCCUGAAUCAGUGUGUGUGUUAGUGGAAGCGUCUGGAAAGGCGCGCGAUACAGGGUGACAGCCCCGUACACAAAAAUGCACAUGCUGUGAGCUCGAUGAGUAGGGCGGGACACGUGGUAUCCUGUCUGAAUAUGGGGGGACCAUCCUCCAAGGCUAAAUACUCCUGACUGACCGAUAGUGAACCAGUACCGUGAGGGAAAGGCGAAAAGAACCCCGGCGAGGGGAGUGAAAAAGAACCUGAAACCGUGUACGUACAAGCAGUGGGAGCACAGAGCAAUCUGUGUGACUGCGUACCUUUUGUAUAAUGGGUCAGCGACUUAUAUUCUGUAGCAAGGUUAACCGAAUAGGGGAGCCGAAGGGAAACCGAGUCUUAACUGGGCGUUAAGUUGCAGGGUAUAGACCCGAAACCCGGUGAUCUAGCCAUGGGCAGGUUGAAGGUUGGGUAACACUAACUGGAGGACCGAACCGACUAAUGUUGAAAAAUUAGCGGAUGACUUGUGGCUGGGGGUGAAAGGCCAAUCAAACCGGGAGAUAGCUGGUUCUCCCCGAAAGCUAUUUAGGUAGCGCCUCGUGAAUUCAUCUCCGGGGGUAGAGCACUGUUUCGGCAAGGGGGUCAUCCCGACUUACCAACCCGAUGCAAACUGCGAAUACCGGAGAAUGUUAUCACGGGAGACACACGGCGGGUGCUAACGUCCGUCGUGAAGAGGGAAACAACCCAGACCGCCAGCUAAGGUCCCAAAGUCAUGGUUAAGUGGGAAACGAUGUGGGAAGGCCCAGACAGCCAGGAUGUUGGCUUAGAAGCAGCCAUCAUUUAAAGAAAGCGUAAUAGCUCACUGGUCGAGUCGGCCUGCGCGGAAGAUGUAACGGGGCUAAACCAUGCACCGAAGCUGCGGCAGCGACGCUGAUGCGUUGUUGGGUAGGGGAGCGUUCUGUAAGCCUGUGAAGGUGUGCUGUGAGGCAUGCUGGAGGUAUCAGAAGUGCGAAUGCUGACAUAAGUAACGAUAAAGCGGGUGAAAAGCCCGCUCGCCGGAAGACCAAGGGUUCCUGUCCAACGUUAAUCGGGGCAGGGUGAGUCGACCCCUAAGGCGAGGCCGAAAGGCGUAGUCGAUGGGAAACAGGUUAAUAUUCCUGUACUUGGUGUUACUGCGAAGGGGGGACGGAGAAGGCUAUGUUGGCCGGGCGACGGUUGUCCCGGUUUAAGCGUGUAGGCUGGUUUUCCAGGCAAAUCCGGAAAAUCAAGGCUGAGGCGUGAUGACGAGGCACUACGGUGCUGAAGCAACAAAUGCCCUGCUUCCAGGAAAAGCCUCUAAGCAUCAGGUAACAUCAAAUCGUACCCCAAACCGACACAGGUGGUCAGGUAGAGAAUACCAAGGCGCUUGAGAGAACUCGGGUGAAGGAACUAGGCAAAAUGGUGCCGUAACUUCGGGAGAAGGCACGCUGAUAUGUAGGUGAAGUCCCUCGCGGAUGGAGCUGAAAUCAGUCGAAGAUACCAGCUGGCUGCAACUGUUUAUUAAAAACACAGCACUGUGCAAACACGAAAGUGGACGUAUACGGUGUGACGCCUGCCCGGUGCCGGAAGGUUAAUUGAUGGGGUUAGCGCAAGCGAAGCUCUUGAUCGAAGCCCCGGUAAACGGCGGCCGUAACUAUAACGGUCCUAAGGUAGCGAAAUUCCUUGUCGGGUAAGUUCCGACCUGCACGAAUGGCGUAAUGAUGGCCAGGCUGUCUCCACCCGAGACUCAGUGAAAUUGAACUCGCUGUGAAGAUGCAGUGUACCCGCGGCAAGACGGAAAGACCCCGUGAACCUUUACUAUAGCUUGACACUGAACAUUGAGCCUUGAUGUGUAGGAUAGGUGGGAGGCUUUGAAGUGUGGACGCCAGUCUGCAUGGAGCCGACCUUGAAAUACCACCCUUUAAUGUUUGAUGUUCUAACGUUGACCCGUGAUCCGGGUUGCGGACAGUGUCUGGUGGGUAGUUUGACUGGGGCGGUCUCCUCCUAAAGAGUAACGGAGGAGCACGAAGGUUGGCUAAUCCUGGUCGGACAUCAGGAGGUUAGUGCAAUGGCAUAAGCCAGCUUGACUGCGAGCGUGACGGCGCGAGCAGGUGCGAAAGCAGGUCAUAGUGAUCCGGUGGUUCUGAAUGGAAGGGCCAUCGCUCAACGGAUAAAAGGUACUCCGGGGAUAACAGGCUGAUACCGCCCAAGAGUUCAUAUCGACGGCGGUGUUUGGCACCUCGAUGUCGGCUCAUCACAUCCUGGGGCUGAAGUAGGUCCCAAGGGUAUGGCUGUUCGCCAUUUAAAGUGGUACGCGAGCUGGGUUUAGAACGUCGUGAGACAGUUCGGUCCCUAUCUGCCGUGGGCGCUGGAGAACUGAGGGGGGCUGCUCCUAGUACGAGAGGACCGGAGUGGACGCAUCACUGGUGUUCGGGUUGUCAUGCCAAUGGCACUGCCCGGUAGCUAAAUGCGGAAGAGAUAAGUGCUGAAAGCAUCUAAGCACGAAACUUGCCCCGAGAUGAGUUCUCCCUGACUCCUUGAGAGUCCUGAAGGAACGUUGAAGACGACGACGUUGAUAGGCCGGGUGUGUAAGCGCAGCGAUGCGUUGAGCUAACCGGUACUAAUGAACCGUGAGGCUUAACCUU
RNAcentral lists this ribosomal RNA (2906 nucleotides) under Escherichia coli. RNAcentral describes it as "23S ribosomal RNA". It matches the Rfam family "Bacterial large subunit ribosomal RNA". The record is from RNAcentral. Lineage: Bacteria; Pseudomonadati; Pseudomonadota; Gammaproteobacteria; Enterobacterales; Enterobacteriaceae.